AGCCAAACACAUAAUACAGUAGAAGAGGGGAGUAGGCAGGCAGCUAGGUUAGUUUUAGUCACUAAUUCUGUUUAGAGUUAAGUCUAACUUCAGAAAUUGUAACAGUUGUGAAGGAAUUCCAUAUAAGGUUUUUCUUUUCGUUCAUCUUCUUCUUCAUUUUCUUCACCAUCCUGUUCGUUUCUCUCUGAUCGCAUACUUGCAGACACAGGCGCCAGAGGCAUAAUUGGAAGCAUUAAGUGAAGGGCAUCUCGAUCUGUUACUCAAAGCACUCGAAGAGGAUCAAAAUUAGGGAGGCAAGCUUCUGAAUCCUAAUCUAUCUCUCAAAAGUUAGAAUACUAGAAUUUGUUUCUUGGAUUGAAAUGGGUAGACAGUUGAUAAUUUCUUCUUCCUCUCCUUUAAUGACUUUUAUCGAAUGGAACUACCUUUUGUUUAUUGGUAGUCCAUGUUUUUGUUUUUGUCAAGCUUGUCUUAUGGAGCAUUUUGCAUUAUUAGGGGGCCACUGUGCAAAACAUAGAAGUUGAUAAUUACAUUUAGGACAUGAUGACUCUUUUCAACUCGGUUGUGUUGAGAAACCGAAGGAAGGAAUGUUGGGUUGUUUUAUUUUUUCGGUAUAAGAAGUUAGGGAAAUGGGGAACUAGAAAAUGACAAUACCACCAUUGAAAUGUAAGCUAAUAGAAUUUGUGGUUUCCUGUAAGCUUUGCACAAGCAUUUUAUUUCUUGAUAGUUGGGUUAGCCUUACUCAAACGAUCAUGGAUGGUCCUGGAAUGUAGUGUACUUGGUUCAAGUUGGGCUAGUUUGUCAGAUGUCUUGAAUGUUUAAUGUUUUUAGAUGUUUGUUAUGUUUUACAUCACAUCCUUUAAAGAGUUAUUGAGUGUAGAUUAAAAUUUCCUACAUGAUUUAUAAUCUAAGUUGAGUUUCGAUGUGAGGUUUAGAAAAGGACAUAGAAUCUGUGGCAUCUAGUUCUCCUCCAAUCCCAUGCCCCAUUCCUGCAUAAUUAACUGUACUUCUGAAUGAUGUGAAGCUAUUGGCGGUGAUGACAAUAAUGAACAAUUAUAAUUGAUAAAUAUUAGUAAUUGAGUGCUUUCAUGAAAUCUUCACUAUCUUCAGCUCUGAUGUUGUUUUGAUACUAUUUAGUGCUUCUGUUGAUAAAUUUUAAAACUGCCUGAUGCACCAUUCUGAUAUUAUUGCAGGUAAGCAGAAAUAAUUACUGAGGAAAAAAGAAAAGAAAAAGGAGGCUUCUACAUGUCGAAAUGGAAUGGAACUACAUUGAUUGAUCCCUGCAAUACAAUUUUUUUUUUUGGAUAACCAUGUCCGGGUUUUAUACUUUUACUAUAUCAAGUGCUAUACAAUGUUUUGCUGCUUGGUUCGACUUUUUUGAACAUGGACGUUGAGAUUUUUCUAGUCAUUCAUUACCCUAUGGAAAAAAUACCAUGUAGAUUCAUCACUGCUUAUGUUUGUAACUUUAGUCAUUCUCUUUUUUCUUUUGUUGCCCUCUUUUCUAAUCUCAGCUGUAGGUUCCCUCCUUAGUCUUCUUCCAUCUCAUCCCAGCCAUUUUGUGCUUUAUGCGUACCUUAGGGGUUCAAAUAUGCAAUGAGGUACAUAUUCGAAUUCUUGAACUGCAUCUGCAUGAUGGAGGUGGUAGACCUAUCAAUUUGAUUGAAACCUUUAGUUUAGUAAGGAUUGCACUUUGCAGUCUUCUAAAAUUUAGUCGAGUUGUAAACUAUUAUUCAGCUCAAGAACGUAAUUUUUCAUAUCUUCCGAUCAAGACAUACUAAUAGAAUUUGUGGUUGGAGCAUUUCAUUUA
Long non-coding RNA from Prunus persica (peach), 1804 nucleotides. RefSeq lists it as uncharacterized. The record is from RefSeq and is a predicted model, not a curated record. NCBI's taxonomy places the organism in Eukaryota, Viridiplantae, Streptophyta, Magnoliopsida, Rosales, Rosaceae. The transcript has 2 exons.